CUACGGGAGGCAGCAGUGGGGAAUAUUGGACAAUGGGGGAAGCCCUGAUCCAGCCAUGCCGCGUGAGUGAAGAAGGCCUUAGGGUUGUAAAGCUCUUUCGGCGGGGACGAUGAUGACGGUACCCGCAGAAGAAGCCCCGGCUAACUCCGUGCCAGCAGCCGCGGUAAUACGGAGGGGGCAAGCGUUGUUCGGAAUUACUGGGCGUAAAGCGCGCGUAGGCGGUUUUUCAAGUUAGGCGUGAAAGCCCUGGGCUCAACCCGGGAAUUGCGCUUAAUACUGGAUGACUUGAGGCCGGGAGAGGGUAGUGGAAUUCCCAGUGUAGAGGUGAAAUUCGUAGAUAUUGGGAAGAACACCAGUGGCGAAGGCGGCUACCUGGACCGGUACUGACGCUGAUGCGCGAAAGCGUGGGGAGCAAACAGGAUUAGAUACCCCAGUAGUCC
This 440-nucleotide ribosomal RNA is filed under the name uncultured bacterium. RNAcentral describes it as "bacterial SSU rRNA". It matches the Rfam family "Bacterial small subunit ribosomal RNA", at positions 339 to 796 of the family's 1533-position model. The record is from RNAcentral.